GGGCGCGUAGGCGGAUUAUCAAGUCUCUUGUGAAAUCUAAUGGCUUAACCAUUAAACUGCUUGGGAAACUGAUAGUCUAGAGUGAGGGAGAGGCAGAUGGAAUUGGUGGUGUAGGGGUAAAAUCCGUAGAUAUCACCAAGAAUACCCAUUGCGAAGGCGAUCUGCUGGAACUCAACUGACGCUAAGGCGCGAAAGCGUGGGGAGCAAACAGGAUUAGAUACCCUGGUAGUCCACGCCCUAAACGAUGUACACUAGUUGUUGGGGUGCUAGUCAUCUCAGUAAUGCAGCUAACGCAUUAAGUGUACCGCCUGGGGAGUACGGUCGCAAGAUUAAAACUCAAAGGAAUAGACGGGGACCCGCACAAGCGGUGGAGCAUGUGGUUUAAUUCGAAGAUACGCGAAGAACCUUACCUGGGCUUGAUAUCCUAAGAACCUUUUAGAGAUAAGAGGGUGCUAGCUUGCUAGAACUUAGAGACAGGUGCUGCACGGCUGUCGUCAGCUCGUGUCGUGAGAUGUUGGGUUAAGUCCCGCAACGAGCGCAACCCACGUAUUUAGUUGCUAACGGUUCGGCCGAGCACUCUAAAUAGACUGCCUUCGUAAGGAGGAGGAAGGUGUGGACGACGUCAAGUCAUCAUGGCCCUUAUGCCCAGGGCGACACACGUGCUACAAUGGCAUAUACAAUGAGACGCAAUACCGCGAGGUGGAGCAAAUCUAUAAAAUAUGUCCCAGUUCGGAUUGUUCUCUGCAACUCGAGAGCAUGAAGCCGGAAUCGCUAGUAAUCGUAGAUCAGCCAUGCUACGGUGAAUACGUUCCCGGGUCUUGUACUCACCGCCCGUCACACCAUGGGAGUUGAUUUCACUCGAAGCCGGAAUACUAAACUAGUUACCGUCCACAGUGGAAUCAGCGACUGGGGUGAAGUCGUAACAAGGUAACCGUAGGAGAACCUGCGGUUGGAUCACCUCCUUUCUA
RNAcentral lists this ribosomal RNA (968 nucleotides) under Campylobacter jejuni. Its description in RNAcentral is "bacterial SSU rRNA". It matches the Rfam family "Bacterial small subunit ribosomal RNA", at positions 565 to 1533 of the family's 1533-position model. The record is from RNAcentral. Lineage: Bacteria; Pseudomonadati; Campylobacterota; Epsilonproteobacteria; Campylobacterales; Campylobacteraceae.